GCUUCGGUGGCAAGUGGUUAGAGCGUCCGCCCCGGAUGUGGGAGGUCGUGGGUUCGAUCCCCGGUCGAGUCA
Molecule: non-coding RNA, 72 nt
Organism: Potamilus streckersoni
Lineage: Eukaryota; Metazoa; Mollusca; Bivalvia; Unionida; Unionidae
Source: the annotation of a GenBank genome assembly